AACCAUAGAAACCUGCGGAGUACCUGCGGAAGGAUCAUUAUCAAACAAAACAUACCGCCCCGGUAACGUGAGUCAGAUCACGCGAUCCGACGGUGGUUGUCCACCUUUCCGUGAAUCGUGCAAAAACAAACACUAUUUAACCGAUCCCACGUGUGUCGUCGGCCUGGUCUCGGUGUGCUGCGUUUGCGGCACAUGGUCGGGAUGUGCGUGGCUAAAUAAACUGAAACUUAUUUAAUUUGU
This 240-nucleotide unclassified non-coding RNA is filed under the name soil metagenome. RNAcentral describes it as "partial contains 5.8S ribosomal RNA, internal transcribed spacer 2, and large subunit ribosomal RNA". The record is from RNAcentral.